GUCAGAUAUGGGCGGAACCUCCCCUCUAGAAAGGCGGAGCACCCUUUGAAGAGCGAGAUGGCUUUGAAAGGUCAGAUUUAUUUCAAAGUACAAAGUUUGUUCUGUCUCUCCUGCUGCAAGCUCAACCUGCAAACUGAAAACUCAAGCUGUGUCCCUUCUGCCUAUCAUUGUUUGAAAGGAAAAUUUGUAAUCUGUAUGCAAAAUGCUGCAUUGGAUGUGAAUUUAUGACAUAUACUGAAUCAUUUCUUUCAAGUGUUUGGGGUUGAAUAAAGCAAUGUGUUAAAUUAGAUAAAAGCAAGGACACAGUUGAAGGAAUGACUUGAAGACUGUGAUGGCUGUAAAAAUUGGUUUGGCAGUGAAUUUUUUAGUGAUGAAUGGAAAGCAGAAGUAUAUUUUGGGUAUGUGAUUCAAGGUGUCAUAAAAGAGAAGAUAAGCAUUUGCUUAAUAAUAUGGUCAUCACCAAUAAUAAGACUAAAGAGAUAUCCUGAUUGUCUCUCAAACAAAACCAUUGACUGAAACAACAGCACCC
Molecule: long non-coding RNA, 529 nt
Filed under: Heterocephalus glaber (naked mole-rat)
Lineage: Eukaryota; Metazoa; Chordata; Mammalia; Rodentia; Bathyergidae
Description: lncRNA (ENSHGLG00000049688.1)
Source: RNAcentral